Molecule: long non-coding RNA, 2076 nt
Organism: Salvelinus namaycush (lake trout)
Lineage: Eukaryota; Metazoa; Chordata; Actinopteri; Salmoniformes; Salmonidae
Exons: 3
Source: RefSeq, a predicted model, not a curated record
GAGAGACAGAGACAGACAGAGAGACAGAGAGAGAGAGAGACAGAGAGAGAGACAGAGAGACAGAGAGACAGAGAGAGAGAGGCCAGUUCUGAUGGCUGAUACAGUCCACUGCCCAAAGCUCUGAGAUUAAGAUUUAAAUAGAGGUGGGUGGCUAGGAGUGGUGUGUGUGUGUGUAUGUAGAUGCCUGGGAGGUGGAAUGAAAGGCGAGUGGGAGAGGUGAGGAGUGGACUAGACUGAAAGACAAACUGCCUGAACCAUGUCACAACAUGGAGGGGGUGACAGUCUGAACCAGGUCACAACAUGGAGGGGUGACAGGCAGUUCCCAGUCUGAACCAGGUCACAACAUGGAGGGGUGACAGGCAGUUCCCAGUCUGAACCAGGUCACAACAUGGAGGGGUGACAGGCAGUUCCCAGUCUGAACCAGGUCACAACAUGGAGGGGUGACAGGCAGUUCCCAGUCUGAACCAGGUCACAACAUGGAGGGGUGACAGGCAGUUCCCAGUCUGAACCAGGUCACAACAUGGAGGGGUGACAGGCAGUUCCCAGUCGAACCAGGUCACAACAUGGAGGGGUGACAGGCAGUUCCAAGUCUGAACCAGGUCACAACAUGGAGGGGUGACAGGCAGUUCCCAGUCUGAACCAGGUCACAACAUGGAGGGGUGACAGGCAGUUCCAAGUCUGAACCAGGUCACAACAUGGAGGGGUGACAGGCAGUUCCCAGUCUGAACCAGGUCACAACAUGGAGGGGUGACAGGCAGAUCCCAGUCUGAACCAGGUCACAACAUGGAGGGGUGACAGUCUGAACCAGGUCACAACAUGGAGGGGUGACAGGCAGUUCCCAGUCUGAACCAGGUCACAACAUGGAGGGGGGACAGGCAGUUACCAGUAUGAACCAGGUCACAACAUGGAGGGGUGACAGGCAGUUCCCAGUCUGAACCAGGUCACAACAUGGAGGGGUGACAGGCAGUUCCCAGUCUGAACCAGGUCACAACAUGGAGGGGUGACAGGCAGUUCCCAGUCUGAACCAGGUCACAACAUGGAGGGGGGACAGGCAGUUCCCAGUCUGAACCAGGUCACAACAUGGAGGGGUGAAAGGCAGUUCCCAGUCUGAACCAGGUCACAACAUGGAGGGGUGACAGGCAGUUCCCAGUCUGAACCAGGUCACAACAUGGAGGGGUGACAGGCAGUUCCCAGUCUGAACCAGGUCACAACAUGGAGGGGUGACAGGCAGUUCCCAGUCUGAACCAGGUCACAACAUGGAGGGGUGACAGGCAGUUCCCAGUCUGAACCAGGUCACAACAUGGAGGGGUGACAGGCAGUUCCCAGUCUGAACCAGGUCACAACAUGGAGGGGUGACAGGCAGUUCCCAGUCUGAACCAGGUCACAACAUGGAGGGGUGACAGGCAGUACCCAGUCUGAACCAGGUCACAACAUGGAGGGGUGACAGGCAGUUCCCAGUCUGAACCAGGUCACAACAUGGAGGGGUGACAGGCAGUUCCCAGUCUGAACCAGGUCACAACAUGGAGGGGUGACAGGCAGUUCCCAGUCGAACCAGGUCACAACAUGGAGGGGUGACAGGCAGUUCCCAGUCUGAACCAGGUCACAACAUGGAGGGGUGACAGGCAGUUCCCAGUCGAACCAGGUCACAACAUGGAGGGGUGACAGGCAGUUCCCAGUCUGAACCAGGUCACAACAUGGAGGGGUGACAGGCAGUUCCCAGUCUGAACCAGGUCACAACAUGGAGGGGUGACAGGCAGUUCCCAGUCUGAACCAGGUCACAACAUGGAGGGGUGACAGGCAGUUCCCAGUCUGAACCAGGUCACAACAUGGAGGGGUGACAGGCAGUUCCCAGUCUGAACCAGGUCACAACAUGGAGGGGUGACAGGCAGUUCCCAGUCUGAACCAGGUCACAACAUGGAGGGGUGACAGGCAGUUCCCAGUCUGAACCAGGUCACAACAUGGAGGGGUGACAGGCAGUUCCCAGUCUGAACCAGGUCACAACAUGGAGGGGUGACAGGCAGUUCCCAGUCUGAACCAGGUCACAACAUGGAGGGGUGACAGGCAGUUCCUGGAGGC